AUUGAACGCUGGCGGCAGGCUUAACACAUGCAAGUCGAGCGAGCGGCGGACGGGUGAGUAAUGUCUGGGAAACUGCCUGAUGGAGGGGGAUAACUACUGGAAACGGUCGCUAAUACCGCAUACCAUCAGAUGGGCCCAGAUGGGAUGAGCUAGUAGGUGGGGUAAUGGCUCAUCUAGGCGAAGAGCCCUAGCUGGUAUGAGAGGGUGAACAGCCACACUGGAACUGAUACACGGUCCAGACUCCUACGGGAGGCAGAAGUGGGGAAUAUUGCACAAGGGGCGCAAGCCUGAUGCAGCCAUGCCGCGUGUGUGAAGAGGGCCUUCGGGUUGUAAAGCACUUUCAGCGAGGAGGCGUUACUCGCAGAAGAAGCACCGGCUAACUCCGUGCCAGCAGCCGCGGUAAUAC
This 406-nucleotide ribosomal RNA is filed under the name uncultured bacterium. Its description in RNAcentral is "partial 16S ribosomal RNA". It matches the Rfam family "Bacterial small subunit ribosomal RNA", at positions 30 to 526 of the family's 1533-position model. The record is from RNAcentral.